This is a long non-coding RNA of Apis cerana (Asiatic honeybee), 1958 nucleotides long. RefSeq lists it as uncharacterized. The record is from RefSeq and is a predicted model, not a curated record. NCBI's taxonomy places the organism in Eukaryota, Metazoa, Arthropoda, Insecta, Hymenoptera, Apidae.
GGAAGGGCGAAUUGCGCGGGGGUGGUUUGCUACCACCAGAUUGGACAGGAGGAAAGGGAAAGCCGCGGUAAAAGAGCACUUUCAAAGCUCGAAAGAGAUGGACGAAUAGAUACACGUAGCUGACCAAUGGUGUAGAUCGAAGAGAGAAAUUCUAAAGAGAGAAAUUCCGCUGGCUACGCCACUGGUUGGCUCUACCAACCGAAAAGAGUGAGAGAAAAUGAGUGGCAAAGGAUAGAAGUUGGCACAGUGAUGAGAGCAAGAGGAAAAUGGGUGGACGGAAGAAACUACAGGGCGAGAGGGAGAAAUCGCGAGGGUUAAGUAGAGAGGGGGUUAGUUGCUGGUACUCAUGAAGCAGAGGAAAGUAGAAGGGGGUAAGAGGGAAAUGGAUCGGAUUGCGUGGUCGACACGAGUCUGGUUAGUAUGAGUGCAACGGAAUAAAAGAGAAUAAAAAUAAAAGAGCAAGAGAUAGAGAUGCGAUUAGGAAUGGAAGCAUAUAUAUAGGUAAAAAAAAGUAGCUGAGAAUAUAAGAAGGAUUGCAUCAGUGAACGAGAAAAUUUGAGGUAAGAUUUUGUUCGAGAGUUGCUUGACAGAUGACAACCGAUCGGACCACUGACGUCACAGAUCACUCGCUUGGUCGUAUGCUCACACGCACAAACGCGAUUUACUGCAGCACACAGGCACAUAGGAGAAAAAGAGAGAGAACGCGCGCGCGACGUGUCGUGCAUCACGCCGUAUUAUUUCCGUUUCGUGCACAUAGUACGUCAUACGUAUACGCUGCGAGAAAAAAAAGUACUGCGAACGAAAAGAAAAAAAGAGAAAAAAAAAGAAAAAUAAAGAGAGAGGAAAAAAACAGAAGAUAAAUGAAAAUAAAUAGAAAAUUAGAAAAAACGAAAUAAUAUAAAUAUUAUGAAACGGAAUAAGAGAAAAGUACGAGGAAAAGGAGAAAAAAUUUUUCAGUGAAAGUAAAUAGUAAGUAUUUACGAUGCUAACCGGCCGAUAGCCCCGCGCGACGCCUCUAUCUGGUUACCAUUACACUCGGAUGUAUGAAAUGCGCCAGCAGCAUACACCAUCCCCCCACAAUAGCCCUAUUUAUGAUUGGGCAAAAUUGCUUUCCAUGCGCAGAAUAAAAUCGCGCGCGAGCGAGGAAAAAUCCGCGGGGGUUAGAUGCAUACAAGUUACGCAACUUGUACCUAACUACUUCUAUCAUAAUAUUUUCUGAUUCUGAAACAAAAGUUUUAUAUCUAUUUCCAAGUUGUUUUAAUUAAUCAUUCAUGAUACAUGAUUUUUAUUCUUUUAAUUUUCUUUACAUCGAUUCACAAAAUUUGGUAAAAAUUAAAUAUGGCGAAAGGUCACAGUCAUGCGUAUAUGGAUCUCCACUUCCAUUUUCCAAGUAACCAAUCAGCAAAUGCGAACAGAUUUCAAAGAAAUUCCGUCAGCAGCGCUAUUCUCGUUUAAGGGAUGCAUUGUGUUUCAAGAAGUUAAAAUAUUCUUCGUUACAUUAAAAAAAAUAUUUAAUUGUUUUUCUUUUUGUAGUAUUCUACUAUUUUCUUAAGCUUGAUAUAUCAAUAUUAUCUAUAUAACCAAUAUUAUAAUCACAUAGCAAUGACAAUUAGUAGUUAAAAUGUUAUUAAUUUUUAAAAUAUGGCGUUGCUUGCUUUAUCAUAUAAGAAAUAAUUUUAUUCAACAAAUAAAAUCAAGUUGGUGCAAAAAAUGUAUAAUUUUUAUAUUAAAUAAUUUUAUUUUAUAUUAUUUUUAUUUUUUAUAUUUUAUUUUAUAUUAAAUAAUAUUAAGAAUAAUAUUAAAAUUUAUUAAAAUAUUUUAACACAAUUUAUAUUGUAAAUAUAUAAUUAUAUAUUAAUAAUUAUAUUUACUAAUUUUUUUUAUAAAUAAUAUAAGAAAGAUAUAUAUUGAUUGUAUAAAAAUUAUAAAAAAAAUAAAUAAAUCUUAAAUACAUUAAA